This is a long non-coding RNA of Dreissena polymorpha, 488 nucleotides long. RefSeq lists it as uncharacterized. Lineage: Eukaryota; Metazoa; Mollusca; Bivalvia; Myida; Dreissenidae. The transcript is spliced from 2 exons. The record is from RefSeq and is a predicted model, not a curated record.
AUAGACAAUUUUGUCCUACAAUAUGCACUUUUCUUAUCUAUUGGGUUCGAAUCCAAAGAUUAAAAUUCAGGCAUAACGCGUUGAAGCAUCUAGUUAUGACUCUGUACAUUGUCCUUUUAUUAGGGCCAAUUUUCGCAUCAGUUUCCAUGGCAAAACUAGGAUUAUCAACUGAACCGCUCGGAUCAUGUUCCGCAAACGGGGAGAUGUACAUGGAAGGCGAGACUGUUUUCGAAGAUCCAAACAAAUGUCACGACCUCGUUUGCGUCCGAGGCACAAUCGUUCAUCUAGACAAUCCAUGCCUCAUGGAACCAUGCUCAGGAAUCGUUGAGCAUGUGCACGGGCAAUGCUGUCCGCUGUGCCAACCUUCAACGUCGACCCUUUCUGGACCCCUCCCGCCGGUUGGGAAAUAAGGGCGAAAUUGCUGAGCACAACUGUGUGUAAAAUUAAACUAACAUUAUAUACAGGGAUAUAAUACAUUUGUAAUAGUA